GAUGAACGCUGGCGGCGUGCCUAAUACAUGCCAGUCGAGCGAACAGACGAGGAGCUUGCUCCUCUGACGUUAGCGGCGGACGGGUGAGUAACACGUGGAUAACCUACCUAUAAGACUGGGAUAACUUCGGGAAACCGGAGCUAAUACCGGAUAAUAUAUUGAACCGCAUGGUUCAAUAGUGAAAGACGGUUUUGCUGUCACUUAUAGAUGGAUCCGCGCCGCAUUAGCUAGUUGGUAAGGUAACGGCUUACCAAGGCAACGAUGCGUAGCCGACCUGAGAGGGUGAACGGCCACACUGGAACUGAGACAGGGUCCAGACUCCUACGGGAGGCAGCAGUAGGGACUCUUCCGCAAUGGGCGAAAGCCUGACGGAGCAACGCCGCGUGAGUGAUGAAGGUCUUCGGAUCGUAAAACGCUGUUAUUAGGGAAGAACAAAUGUGUAAGUAACUAUGCACGUCUUGACGGUACCGAAUCAGAAAGCCACGGCUAACUACGUG
RNAcentral lists this ribosomal RNA (497 nucleotides) under uncultured bacterium. RNAcentral's name for it is "partial 16S ribosomal RNA". It matches the Rfam family "Bacterial small subunit ribosomal RNA", at positions 28 to 507 of the family's 1533-position model. The record is from RNAcentral.